GGUGAGAUGGCCGAGCGGUCUAAGGCGCUACGUUAAGGUCUUUCAAAACCUUAAAACUCAAUGUUAUCCGUAGUCCGAAAGGGCGUGGGUUCGAAUCCCACUCUCAUCA
Molecule: transfer RNA, 109 nt
Filed under: Coniochaeta pulveracea
Lineage: Eukaryota; Fungi; Ascomycota; Sordariomycetes; Coniochaetales; Coniochaetaceae
Rfam family: tRNA
About the family: Transfer RNA (tRNA) molecules are approximately 80 nucleotides in length. Their secondary structure includes four short double-helical elements and three loops (D, anti-codon, and T loops).
Source: Rfam by way of RNAcentral